RNAcentral lists this ribosomal RNA (437 nucleotides) under uncultured bacterium. RNAcentral describes it as "partial 16S ribosomal RNA". It matches the Rfam family "Bacterial small subunit ribosomal RNA", at positions 339 to 795 of the family's 1533-position model. The record is from RNAcentral.
CUACGGGGUGCAGCAGUGAGGAAUAUUGCACAAUGGGGGGAACCCUGAUGCAGCAACGCCGCGUGGAGGAUGACGCAUUUCGGUGUGUAAACUCCUUUUAUAUGUCAAGAAAAUGACGGUAGCAUAUGAAUAAGCACCGGCUAACUCCGUGCCAGCAGCCGCGGUAAUACGGAGGGUGCAAGCGUUACUCGGAAUCACUGGGCGUAAAGGACGCGUAGGCGGGUUGGAAAGUCAGGUGUGAAAUCCUACAGCGUAACUGUAGGACUGCACUUGAAACUUCUAAUCUAGAGUAUGGGAGGGGGAGAUGGAAUUAGUGGUGUAGGGGUAAAAUCCGUAGAUAUCACUAGGAAUACCUAAAGCGAAGGCGAUCUCCUGGAACAUUACUGACGCUAAGGCGUGAAAGCGUGGGGAGCAAACAGGAUUAUACCCGAGUAGUC